This 449-nucleotide unclassified non-coding RNA is filed under the name Hevea brasiliensis (rubber tree). The record is from RNAcentral. Lineage: Eukaryota; Viridiplantae; Streptophyta; Magnoliopsida; Malpighiales; Euphorbiaceae.
AUUUAAAUUCAGGCUAUCUAGCAGAUUGUUUUCGAGAGCUAAAUCAUAACUCUGUAGUUGAGGUUAUGGUCAACCCAGAGCACAAGCACAAAAGAUGUUGACACUAGUUUACCGGGCCAUCUUUUUAGUUUCUUUCAGAAAGGAACUGCCUCUCUUUUAUCCUCUUCAUACCUCCCCAAAGACACACACAUACCCUUUCGAUUCUUUCCUCUCUCCUUUAUUGCCUAUGUUUCUCAAAUGGAGCCAGCAGCUCAGUUACCAGUAUCUUAGAUUUUCAAAGCGGUAUAUCAUCCUAUCAGUUUGAAGGCAAUCUGGACUUUUUUUAAUACAUUACAAGAAUCUCUUGUGCAUUUCUGAAUGUUUUCAUAUUCUCUUCCUUCUCUUUUAUCUUUCUGAUGCUUUGCUUCACCUAUUUGCCUUUCCUUUGCUUGCAUCAUUUUAUACUUCAG